UUUUAUGGAGAGUUUGAUCCUGGCUCAGGACGAACGCUGGCGGCAUGCUUAACACAUGCAAGUCGAACGGGGUUGCUCAUCGAAAUCCUUCGGGAUGGACAUGAGUAUACCUAGUGGCGGACGGGUGAGUAACGCGUGGAUAACCUGCCCAAAAGACUGGGAUAACACCGGGAAACCGGUGCUAAUACCGGAUAAGCUCUUUAAUACA
This 208-nucleotide ribosomal RNA is filed under the name Bacillota bacterium. RNAcentral's name for it is "partial 16S ribosomal RNA". It matches the Rfam family "Bacterial small subunit ribosomal RNA", at positions 1 to 189 of the family's 1533-position model. The record is from RNAcentral. Lineage: Bacteria; Bacillati; Bacillota.